RNAcentral lists this ribosomal RNA (122 nucleotides) under Danio rerio (zebrafish). Lineage: Eukaryota; Metazoa; Chordata; Actinopteri; Cypriniformes; Danionidae. The record is from RNAcentral.
GCAGGCAGCUAGCUUUCUGCAACUCUCACAUGCUCGCCCACUAAAGCUAGGCAGGGCUGCGCCUGGUCAGUACCUGGAUGGGAGACCGCUUGGGGCUUGGGAACACUAGGUUGCUGCUGGAG